Molecule: ribosomal RNA, 171 nt
Filed under: uncultured bacterium
Lineage: Bacteria
Description: partial 16S ribosomal RNA
Rfam family: Bacterial small subunit ribosomal RNA
Source: RNAcentral
UACAUGAAGCUGGAAUUGCUAGUAAUCACAGGUCAGCAUACUGUGGUGAAUACGUUCCCGGGCCUUGUACACACCGCCCCGUCACACCAUGAGAGUUGAGAAUACCCGAAGUCCAUGUCAAAGUGGCCGAAGGUAGGCUUGAUGAUUGGGGUGAAGUCGUAACAAGGUAGC